UCCGCCCACCGCCGGCUUGGAGGUGAGAAGGAGCGAAGAUGGCGGAGUGACGCGCCCCGGGGCCCAGUGGGCUCGGGUCCCGGGGCGGCCGCUGCGAGGCCUCCCCGGCCUGCUGGACCGUGCGAGGAACCUUAUCACACAGGAAGACCAUUUCCCUGAUAUAGGUGCUUCUAUAUUCUGAAAAUUCUGAACUCAGGACUUGGCAAAUUCUACACAGAGAUGCCCCUUGGAUGUAAUUGUCUUGCUGACCUUCCUGGAAGAAAUAAAGCAGCUGAUGUGGGUCUUCCAAUUCAGUUUGAUUAGUUGUAAAGAGAUGAUUUUGCAAGCUUGAAAACAGAUUUGGCCAGUUGUUCUACCAUAUCUCAUAAAGCACAUUUGAGACUGCAGCAGUAAGUUCCAGAUAUUGUCUGUAAUUUGAAAUGAAAAAGAUGCUAAAAAGUUACAUAUUUCUAUAUCUUGGCUUUUCCUGCGACAUAGAUUUCCUGCAAAAGAACAAAGGUCCAGUUCUGCAGUUGAAUGUUUGAUGUGAUAAAAGAAGCCUAGAGACGAUA
Perognathus longimembris pacificus (Pacific pocket mouse) is the source of this 551-nucleotide long non-coding RNA. RefSeq lists it as uncharacterized. The record is from RefSeq and is a predicted model, not a curated record. Lineage: Eukaryota; Metazoa; Chordata; Mammalia; Rodentia; Heteromyidae. The transcript has 4 exons.